AUUGAACGCUGGCGGCAGGCCUAACACAUGCAAGUCGAGCGGAUGAAGGGAGCUUGCUCCUGGAUUCAGCGGCGGACGGGUGAGUAAUGCCUAGGAAUCUGCCUGGUAGUGGGGGAUAACGUCCGGAAACGGGCGCUAAUACCGCACACGCCCUGAGGGAGAAAGUGGGGGAUCUUCGGACCUCACGCUCUCAGAUGAGCCUAGGUCGGAUUAGCUAGUUGGUGGGGUAAAGGCCUACCAAGGCGACGAUCCGUAACUGGUCUGAGAGGAUGAUCAGUCACACUGGAACUGAGACACGGUCCAGACUCCUACGGGAGGCAGCAGUGGGGAAUAUUGGACAAUGGGCGAAAGCCUGAUCCAGCCAUGCCGCGUGUGUGAAGAAGGUCUUCGGAUUGUAAAGCACUUUAAGUUGGGAGGAAGGGCAGUAAGUUAAUACCUUGCUGUUUUGACGUUACCAACAGAAUAAGCACCGGCUAACUUCGUG
This 484-nucleotide ribosomal RNA is filed under the name uncultured bacterium. RNAcentral describes it as "partial 16S ribosomal RNA". It matches the Rfam family "Bacterial small subunit ribosomal RNA", at positions 30 to 507 of the family's 1533-position model. The record is from RNAcentral.